Long non-coding RNA from Brassica rapa (field mustard), 6620 nucleotides. RefSeq lists it as uncharacterized. Lineage: Eukaryota; Viridiplantae; Streptophyta; Magnoliopsida; Brassicales; Brassicaceae. The record is from RefSeq and is a predicted model, not a curated record.
GUAUCAGAAUGACGAUAAAUGAAGAUUUUUUUGUACCAGCCGCCUAGUUCGCCGAGUUGAGAUCAAUCGCCACGGCCAGGGACCGCCGAGCGUUUAACCGCCGCAAAUCCGGUCACGGCGGCCGCGUUUUAGAACAGAGAUCAAAAUGCAUAAUUACGGCUUCAAUUGGUGACCAUGAAAAUAAAUGAAAUAAACAUAUAAAUGUUAAACAAAAUUUCAUUCAAGUAAUUAAAUUAAAAAAAAAAAAUAUAUAUAUAUAUAUAUAUAUAUAGCGGAACAACACUCCUCAUCAAAUUUAGAAGAAGAAAAUACUCUUCAUUAAUUCAUCAAUAUAUGAGGAACAUAGAUAAAUAUGGUGGGAUCCAUAUGUUCUUAGUUUGACAAAAAAUUCAACUUAAUUGGUAUCAGUUUUGAAGAACAACAAAUUCAUCAUCAUUUUUUUCCUAAACUGUCUAGUGAUUUUUUGAACAUUAGGUUUUUUCACUAUUUUUCAUGCUUACAACCAUUGUAACUUGUGACUUGUGGCUAGAGAAGACUUGCUCCUGCUGUGAAUAUGGAUUUUAUAGUAGCUUGUUGAGUUUAUGCAUUCCUCUGUGCAUCCAUAUUAUACGAAAGAAAUAGAUUCCAUUAGGUAUGCUAUGGAAAUCAUUUACAGUAAAAGUGUAUAUUGACCAUUUCUUUCAUCUAUGGCGUUAAUCCAUUCAUUAAGAUACGUCUCAAGUUGUUUGUUUGUUAGCCCACUCAUUUGAGUCAAGAGAUUCAUACAAAAUACAUGUUUCUAAGUUGUCUUCAUCAUAGUUUUAUAUACUUUACAUGAACACACAUUAUUUGGAACAAAAAAUGAGAGCCUUAAAGCAUUAAGCCUGAUGCUUCUUGCUAAACCAAUCCAGCACCUUUCCUCGGCAUGUCUCCAACUUUGGUUUCAGGUUCUUCCCUUAGUAUGACACUUUAACCGCAUUCCAGUGGUUGCUUCUCGUCUUAAUCCUCUGAUACUUUUAAAGAGUUUCUAUUUGGUUGGUUGCAUUCAAUGUUAAACCAACUUAAUCAUAAUCACCGAGACGGUUCAACUUAGAUCUAUAUUUUUUUGAUAAAAUGUUAAUGGAUUAAAUAAUAAAAAAUACGUAUUUACAAGAUAGUCAAUAAUAAAUGUUUAACGAACAUAAAUCAAAUGCUAAUGGGCUCCUCCAUGAAUUAUGGACGAGCAUUAGAAUAAGCACUACAACUUUGGUUUUUCAAAGUAUAUUGUCGACCUAAUAAUUCUGCUCAAACCGUUUUGUUAAUCACUGAAAAAUUGGUUGACAAACCAUAUACUUGCUUGUGCUUUCUUUUGUUUCCUAUGUUUCACUACUGACAUAUUAUCUAGGGACAAAAUACAACAAGUUUAAAAAAUAGAUUCAAAAUCAUAACAAAAAUAUAAGAAAACAUAAAAUAUCCAUAAGUCAAAAUAUCAAAUAUCAAACAUAAGUUUCAACAUUAAAAACACAUUUGUUCAAUAUAUUAGAAAUAAAAAAUAAGCUAAUCAUCAAAUAGCUCAUUUUAAAAUUUAGAUCAUUUAGUGAGAUGUUGGCAAACUCCAAGAAUCCUACAUCUUCCAUAGAAUCAAAUCCAUCUCCACUAGUAGUCUAGUAUCCAGACGCGAAGCCAAAAGAUUUAUUCUAUGAGUGCAUCAUUUAAUACAAAAAUCAGUAAAAAGAAUCGAACUUGAAAACUAUGGAUGCAUAAUAUGAUUUUUACCAAUUUAACUAACAAGUUCUGUUGGUUUUAAGCUUAAAAUUUUAAUUUUUUUUUAUUUUUGUGGAUGCAUUUGCACCCUUGUUGACAAUAUGCCUUUGCCCUUGUUAGUAUCUCACAUAUUAGUCUUUUUAGUUUCAUAUUGGUUAGAAUUUCUUAAUCAAAAUUGUAGGUUGUUGUGGAAGAAAAUCAAGUUUUGGACACACUUAACAUUUAAUUUUCCUUCAUUAGUGGAUGAAUGAAUGAAUGGGUGAGGACGUACUCCAACUAGCUCAGUCCAUGAUUCCAUGAAGAAGAAUUAUGUUGCCUUAGUAACUUUUUUUUGUCACAAUUUGGAGUUAAAGAGUUUAAGCACAAAAAUUAGUCCACCAAUUGUUGGGUUAUAUAGUAGACAUCAUUGAAAUGAAUGUGUUAAACUUCAAAAAAUCACUGUUCAUAGAGAGUAAUGCAUAUUCCUCUUUAACUUUUAUAUGAUCAUUAUCGAUUAAUUAGAAAUAAUUUUUGAAAACAUUUCAUCCUUUCACGUGAAAGUUUUGCAUUUUUAUGUAGACCAUCAUGAAAAAUCUUCAUUUGGCCAUUCAUCAUUAAAAAUAUACAAAACAAAAAAUAUGUAUAUAUACAACAAAAGAAAAAUCACAUAUCUUAAAAUCAUACAUUGAAUUUAAAGAAUGACCUAGACAAUGUAAAAGAAUGUUAUGUUUUGCUCAGCGAACCACCAAAUUUUCAUAAAUAAACACGAGAUUGAAUUUAGACAUGGGCAAUUUUCUCUCUUGUGAAUCUCAAUCUUCACAUUCUCGAUCAUUUAAUCCCACAUCCCAUAUAUUAUCUCAUAAAUAGGUCUUGUGAAAUCAAUAAUGUAAGGCAUAUUUUCAUAUUUUCCCACCAAUGAUCAUUCACAAAGUUUUCUUUCACAGUGUCAUCAUUUGUGUAAGUAGUCAACUCUUCACUUAUAACUAUGGCUUGAAGACUCCUUUUAAUAAAAUUUUAUCUCUUAAGCAUCAUAGGCGAUUGAGGAAAAAUUAUGGAUCAUCAACCGAAAGUAAUCUAAUACUAAAAAUUGUUAGACUUAUGUUAUGGAUCAUGGUAAAAUGUUUUAAUUUAUUGCAAGGGCCUUCCCAUGAAUUUCAGUAAUUCUGUUACACUCAUAUGUUUCUUGAUUUUUUUCCACAUUAUUUAUAGCACAAAUAUUCCUCAAAGCUAGAUUGAGAGUAUGAACAACACAUGGUGUCCAACUGAUAUGAAGAAACCUACCCUUGAUAAGGUCUCAAGCAACCAUACAAUUUGGUGCGUUAUUACUUAUACAAUAUUUUGAUCAUCCAUUUGAUGAAUAACUUUUUUCAUAAAUUUACCAAUGAAGAAUUUAUCUUUUAUUUCACUGGAACAAUUCUUAGCCUUAAGAAACACAUGACCACAUCCAAAAGUAUCUAUGAAAUUAAUCCAAGGGUUUCUUAAAGGAUCGCUUCAACUAUCACUCACAAUCAUCACCCCUUUUUCUUUUCAUGUUGAUUUCAGUUUGACAUUGUUUUUCUUUUCUUGUCGUGCUAAAGUCAUCUAAAGCUUAUAUAACCUGGAGGUACAUAGCCAUCAAUUUUGUUGGCAGCAACAAAUUGAUAGGACCAAUGAUGGGAGAACAUCAUAUUUGGACCUGCACUUUUACCAAGUGCGACAAUUCGUACAUGCAAACAGUGUUAUCUUUCCCCGUUAUGAACGAUGAAUGAACUGUUGUGUCAGCAACGAGGAUAGAGAACGACAUCGUUUAAGAAUGGGUUUGUGGGCAAAAAGAAAAAUAACUCAAGACGGCUUUAUUUUAGAGUUAAGCUUAAAAUUUCUGUUUCUUCUUCCUUUCUCUUCCCCGGCGACAGACUCAAAGGUUUUAGGUUUUUGACCGCAAAUCAAUAGCUUCUUCAUCAAACCCAAACUCCUCCUCUGUAUCGAUUGAAAAAUUAAUUCAUAGGAAAUUGGAGACACAAAUGUGAAAAGGACAGAGGGAUGCCAAGUACAUGUAAGUGUGGAGAAGGGUCAUUGAUUAGGAUUUCUGGAACUGAUGAAAAAUUAUGUUUGAAAAACCUUUGAAUUUUGAAAACUCUAAUUCUAGAAUUUACUUCCUUUUAGGGGAAAUCAGAGAGUCUAGAUACAAUAACUAAUAUUUUUCUUUCAAAUUGUGAUUCCUAUAAGCUUCAUUUAUGAUUGUGUGUAAAAACUUCGUAUUUUAGAGAACUAAAGUUUUUACUUUGAACCUUGAGUCUCCCAGAGAAGAGAAAGGAAGAAGAAACAGAUAUCUUAAGCUCUAAUCUAAAACAAAAUCGUUUAGGGUUAAUUUUUUUUUCCCACAAACCCAUUCUUAAACAAUGUCGUUUUCUAUCCUCGUUGCUGACUCAACAGUCCAGUCAUCAUCCGUAACAGGUAGAUAACACUGUUUGCUCCAAUGUAUGAAUUAACAACCUUUUUUUAUAUUUCAGAUAUGCAUAUUUGAUGAAACCAUAGUGAAAGUAUGUAAGCGCAUAGUUCUAAACUUCUAAUGUGCGGGUACGAAUCGUCGCACUAGAUAAAAGUGCAGGUCCAAAUAUGUCGUUUUUUGGACCAAUGAUAGCUUGGAUUUCUUACAAAAUUAAAUAGUAUAUGUCCUAUAAAAAACAUUUGCAAUUUCUUGAUCUAACGAAUCUCUAGCUUGAAUUCCAAAUGAUCCAACAAUUGGGAAUGCAAAAUUUCCUUUUCUUAUAACCAUUAUUAACAUGCCAUAGAAACUUCUCUAGAUCCAUAUUCAAUUUUUUUUUUCAGAUUAAUUUUCUAACUUCCGCCUCGCAAACUUUUUAACUAGUAAUUUUUCUCGUCCACAAAGAGAAAUCAUAUGCCCUUUCACUCCAAAUAAAUGCAUGUUGACUCUGGAACAUGAUCUUUGUUUAAUCUCAUUACAAACAUUUUAUUUAGAUUUCUAAUUCCUCCUGUUACUCAUAGCUUCUCCAAUUUAAUUACAUAACUAGAACUUGACUCGCACGCCCGUGCAGUUGUUAAUUUUCACAUUUUUUAUAAAUUGUUUAAAGAAAAUUUUAAACACAUAAGUUAUCCUAUUUUUAGGUUUCUACAAAUUUAUUUGGACCCAGAAGGAUCUGAAUCCGAAUUCCAUCCAAAUAUUUACAAUAUCCGAAUACAAUUUAGUUAGAUUAUUUGUUAACAGUAGACUCAACUUGGGGUUCAAAGCGUCUGUUAAUAGAAGGACUAUCGUCUUCUUCAUGCUGGGGUGAAGAAUUUAGGUCCAUCGCAAUAGCAGAUAAUCAAUGGUAAAAGCAAUACAAAAUCCCAAAUUAGAUUAUCUGCAAAGCGUAAAUAGAAUUUGGAAAUACACAAAUUAUCAAAGGUAAGGGAAUAUGUCGAUCUUUUUUUGUUUCUAUGAUUUAUAUUGAGCAACCAAACAUAAGAAGGUGAACGAACGAACCACCAAGCAGAGCCCUUUAACAGAAUCUAACCAAUACACAAAUCACUAACUAUCAGAAUGAAUAAAGACGGCGUGUUACAUAAUAUAUGCUAUUCAAUCCACAAAUUUGAUUAGAUGGCAAGAGUGAAAUAUGAUAAUUAAUUUCAAUUAAUUGAUGAUCUAUUUUUAAUGAAUAAUACAAUCAAUUUGAUUUACCUUAGAGGUUUAUAUUAUGUAGAUACAUACGUGAGAUGCACUAAUGGAGAAUAAGUGUAAGGUAAUAUCUAAAACCGGUUGGAUGUAAAUUAUGGUUAUAAACUAUUAAAUGUUAGUAUCAUUUAUGGGAUCUUUUUCUUAACUGAUUGUUUACUUUUAAGGAAAGUCUUAUUAAUAUUGGAGUAUUAAUUGCCGUAACAAACUAAUCACUGUUUUCGAUAAAAAUUAAAAACGUCUUUAAUAAAAUAAACAAAUGAUUGUUUAAAUUUCAGUGGUACAAGUUGGUAAAUACUAAGAUGAAGUAAGGGUGAUUCUCCAAAUGUAGUUCAGUUUUAAUAGAUUGGAUUCUAUAAUGGAGGUUAUGAUAUUCCAAGUCCACAAAUACUUCAAAUAAUUUUAAUUUCUUUCUAUACCAAUUUUUUAUAUGUUCAAAGCCUAUGUUACAUCUAUAAGCCUUUCUUGAGGGUGCCAAUAGUUAGACCAAAACAUCACGGAUUGAGCAUUAUGUAAUUCUAUAUACGAAUAAAUUGUGUUGCAAAUGGCAUUAGUUUAAGAAGUUUUCUCAAAACCCAUGAUUCAUCUAAGGUUUCUCUACAUCCCAGAAAGAAACUUAUGUCAGCAAUUUUAAUUUUUUUUGCAACACAUUUAGGUAAAAAAUGGGUUAUAUAUUCCCUUUUUCUCGUACGAUUAUAAAACCCAUUAGCAGAAAAAUGCCAUAUCAUUCUUUUAGUUAGUUAUUUAUCAUUAAUAAAGAAGUAGAAGUAAGCUCGUUUUAUAAAAAAAAAGAAUAAAUAGAAGCUAAUGCAAUUUUCUUAAUACAAAUUGAUAUCAUGAUUAAUUAAAAUUAUUUGAAUAAAUACGUAAAUAAAAUAUCCUACUAUAUAAAAGGAGCUACUUUUAAAAUGUUUAAAGAGUGCCACGUCAGACGAAAUAUUCCUGACCAAUCAUAUUGACAUGUCAUCACGGAUUGGCCAAUAAAGAAAUAACUUGGAAAGAGCAGAUCAUGUGUUUUCUUAUCGAGCAGCAGAUCACGUGCUUCAGUCCAAUAAUUAAGUUAAUCUUCACAGCCCAGCUUUACCAAACACUCAUGACCCAAACAAAAUACUACUGACCCAACCUAAUUUUAUUAAAUAAAAUUUGUUUUUCACCAAGCAAUAUAUAAUACAAUCAUUUUUUGUAGAUCUAAAGUGGUACGUCUAACUAUAUGGGACAACGAGAUGGCUAAUUUUAAGGAGUUAAAUCGCAUAUCUACCAGGAAAAA